AGGACGAACGCUGGCGGCGUGCUUAACACAUGCAAGUCGAGCGGUAAGGCCUUUCGGGGUACACGAGCGGCGAACGGGUGAGUAACACGUGGGUGAUCUGCCCUGCACUCUGGGAUAAGCCUGGGAAACUGGGUCUAAUACCGGAUAUGACCUGCUCUCGCAGUGGGGGGUGGUGGAAAGAUUUAUCGGGUGCAGGGAUGGGCCCGCGGCCUAUCAGCUUGUUGGUGGGGUAAUGGGCCUACCAAGGCGACGACGGGUAGCCGACCUGAGAGGGUGACCGGCCACGACUGGGACUGAGACACGGCCCAGACUCCUACGGGAGGCAGCAGUGGGAAUAUGCACAAUGGGCGAAAGCCUGAUGCAGCGACGCCGCGUGAGGAUGAAGGCCUUACGGGUUAGUAAACCUCUUUAC
RNAcentral lists this ribosomal RNA (412 nucleotides) under uncultured soil bacterium. RNAcentral's name for it is "bacterial SSU rRNA". It matches the Rfam family "Bacterial small subunit ribosomal RNA", at positions 26 to 438 of the family's 1533-position model. The record is from RNAcentral.